GGUUAGGUUUGAUGUGAUCCAGCGAGAGGGGUUUGGCAGAGAGCGACUUUAGGUGGGCUAUAUUUUGGAUUAAGGCUUGAACCAGACAGGGCUGAAACCACGUAUGGUCUUUCAGUGGUGCUCAGCCCAAGGGAGCUUUGCGCAGCCGGGGAGGGGACAGUGAGAUGCUGUGAGCCAGGAAUGUGGAACACUCCACCUGUUUCUGUUACGGCCCAGUGAAGUCAACUGAAAAAUUCUGCCUACAGUAAUCUCUUGCAUAUUUUCUUCUGGGAGGAAGAGGAAGGGCAAGGCAGCUUUCUGAACCUUAUCACCAGUACUAAGUGUAGGCAAUCUUGAAAUAUCCCGAAGCAAAAGAGGCUCAUGUUGUGAAAAAGAGACAUUAAGGUGACAUUGAGCUGGGUACCUCUAAGAGUUGGAUAGCGGGGAAGCCUUCACAGUGAGGACGUGGCUUUAUUAUAACCAGAGUUCAUAGCAGCGCCGAGCAGCUGAGAGCUGCGAGGAGGAGGAUGCUGAGAAAUACAUGCCAAGUUGCUUGAUGUUCCUUUCCCAAAUGUCUUCUAAUUUUAAACACUUAAAUAAUUGACUAUUUAUAAAUGUUUCAAUGGAAAAAUCCCCAAGCUCAGUGACAGAUGGUCAGUCGCACCUUGAAUGAGAUGAUUAUUGUAACAGUCAGCACAGAUCUCUGAAUAAUGCCUUUCCCACUGACUCCGGUGUUGCUUAUUUGGGUCAUGCUGAAAAUAGCCUUAGCUAAAAGGUGUAUGAAGCAUCUGCCAAAGCAUGUAAUCUGUCUCUGUUUCAGCCCUCCUAAGUAAAUACACUUGAACAUUGAGAUGGCAACGAAGUAGAUGAAUACAAAUGUUCAGAGUCAACUUCUUUUGGCAGGAGUGAUGAUUUUUUAUUUUUUUUUAAUAAACUCUCCCCCCUUGAAUCUGCAUUUGUUGUUCCUCUUUGGUGGAAAAUAAGAGUAACUUGUAGAAGAUCUCUACCUCUCAUCAAGGAAAACACUCAGCUCCCUCUCCCUUGUCAAUACAUAAGAACAAAUGGUUCUGCAGAAGUUAACUUCUGGGGGUUUGUUUUUUAGCAUUGUAUCGUGAGGUGAUGUUGAUGGUUCUCUUGUCAAGGCAGUAAGCAGAGAGUCAUACAUCUUAUAGUAAAGAGAU
Non-coding RNA from Anas platyrhynchos (mallard), 1160 nucleotides. The record is from RefSeq and is a predicted model, not a curated record. NCBI's taxonomy places the organism in Eukaryota, Metazoa, Chordata, Aves, Anseriformes, Anatidae.